UGCUGUUGAUGACGUGGUUUGCUCCCGUGUCGCCGUUGGCGCUGGCGCAGCCGGCGUCUGUUCCCGCUGCGCCGGCCGGCGCGGCAGCGGC
This 91-nucleotide transfer RNA is filed under the name Ralstonia solanacearum. RNAcentral's name for it is "tRNA-Ala". Lineage: Bacteria; Pseudomonadati; Pseudomonadota; Betaproteobacteria; Burkholderiales; Burkholderiaceae. The record is from RNAcentral.